RNAcentral lists this unclassified non-coding RNA (343 nucleotides) under soil metagenome. RNAcentral's name for it is "partial contains 5.8S ribosomal RNA, internal transcribed spacer 2, and large subunit ribosomal RNA". The stretch from base 1 to 120 matches the Rfam family "5.8S ribosomal RNA", at positions 35 to 154 of the family's 154-position model. The record is from RNAcentral.
GAUGAAGAACGUAGCGAAAUGCGAUAAGUAAUGUGAAUUGCAGAAUCCAGUGAAUCAUCGAAUCUUUGUACGCACAUUGCGCCCGCCAGCAUUCUGGCGGGCAUGCCUGUUCGAGCGUCAUUUCAACCCUCGACCUCCCUUUGGGGAAGUCGGCGUUGGGGACCGGCAGCACACCGCCGGCCCUGAAAUGGAGUGGCGGCCCGUCCGCGGCGACCUCUGCGUAGUAAUCCAACUCGCACCGGAACCCCGACGCGGCCACGCCGUAAAACACCCAACUUCUGAACGUUGACCUCGAAUCAGGUAGGACUACCCGCUGAACUUAAGCAUAUCAAUAAGCGGAGGA